GCUUUGAAGAGGGCUACAUCUACAGAUAUAUCUACUCCGGAUAGUGAGUGAGGGCCAACCAGUGCUCCCCAAUGACGCAGCAAGCCCCUACACAGAUGAGCAGUAGGCUUCGUGUGAAAGACCCUUCAACAGGACAGGAGUAGCCUACAGUAAACUCCCCUUAAACCAAAAAAAGACGUGCUUGGAGAUGUCCCACGCAGACGGCGGAUAAGUUGCCUCAGUUCCCCGGCUGAAAGGUCCCAGUGUAGUGAAUGGACCUGAGCCUCAUAGGACCAUGCCUCAGAACUACCUGGCCUGACGACUCCUGGCUGUCCCCUUCCACAGUCCAUCAGGUCUUGCUGCUGAUCCAGAUUCUGCUGUUCUGCCUGUGGCUAUGGAACCCUGAACUUUUUCCCGCACGUGCUACCUUUUUGUGCUGCUGCUCCAGUUUCAACUAUUCUGC
This 442-nucleotide long non-coding RNA is filed under the name Salmo salar (Atlantic salmon). RNAcentral's name for it is "lncRNA (ENSSSAG00000116534.1)". Lineage: Eukaryota; Metazoa; Chordata; Actinopteri; Salmoniformes; Salmonidae. The record is from RNAcentral.